AUGUGUACUUCUCCCAUUGGUCGUCUGAUAGGGAACAGACUAGUAGUGUCAGAAGGUCGUCUGAUAGGGAACAGACUAGUAGUGUCAGAAGGUCGUCUGAUAGGGAACAGACUAGUUGUGUCAGAAGGUCGUCUGAUAGGGAACAGACUAGUAGUGUCAGAAGGUCGUCUGAUAGGGAACAGACUAGUAGUGUCAGAAGGUCGUCUGAUAGGGAACAGACUAGUAGUGUCAGAAGGUCGUCUGAUAGGGAACAGACUAGUAGUGUCAGAAGGUCGUCUGAUAGGGAACAGACUAGUAGUGUCAGAAGGUCGUCUGAUAGGGAACAGACUAGUAGUGUCAGAAGGUCGUCUGAUAGGGAACAGACUAGUAGUGUCAGAAGGUCAUCUGAUAGGGAACAGACUAGUAGUGUCAGAAGGUCAUCUGAUAGGGAACAGACUAGUAAUGUCAGAAGGUCAUCUGAUAGGGAACAGACUAGUAGUGUCAGAAGGUUGUCUGAUAGGGAACAGACUAGUAGUGUCAGAAGGUCAUCUGAUAGGGAACAGACUAGUAGUGUCAGAAGGUCAUCUGAUAGGGAGCAGACUAGUAGUGUCAGAAGGUCAUCUGAUAGGGAACAGACUAGUAGUGUCAGAAGGUCGUCUGAUAGGGAACAGACUAGUAGUGUCAGAAGGUCAUCUGAUAGGGAACAGACUAGUAGUGUCAGAAGGUCAUCUGAUAGGGAACAGACUAGUAAUGUCAGAAGGUCAUCUGAUAGGGAACAGACUAGUAGUGUCAGAAGGUCGUCUGAUAGGGAACAGACUAGUAAUGUCAGAAGGUCAUCUGAUAGAAAACAGACUAGUAGUGUCAGAAGGUCGUCUGAUAGGGAACAGACUAGUAAUGUCAGAAGGUCAUCUGAUAGAAAACAGACUAGUAGUGUCAGAAGGUCGUCUGAUAGGGAACAGACUAGUAGUGUCAGAAGGUCGUCUGAUAGGGAACAGACUAGUAGUGUCAGAAGGUCGUCUGAUAGGGAACAGACUAGUAAUGUCAGAAGGUCAUCUGAUAGAAAACAGACUAGUAGUGUCAGAAGGUCAUCUGAUAGGGAACAGACUAGUAGUGUCAGAAGGUCAUCUGAUAGGGAACAGACUAGUAGUGUCAGAAGGUCACCUGAUAGGGAACAGACUAGUAGUGUCAGAAGGUCAUCUGAUAGGGAACAGACUAGUAGUGUCAGAAGGUCGUCUGAUAGGGAACAGACUAGUAGUGUCAGAAGGUCGUCUGAUAGGGAACAGACUAGUAGUGUCAGAAGGUCAUCUGAUAGGGAACAGACUAGUAGUGUCGGAAGGUCAUCUGAUAGGGAACAGACUAGUAGUGUCAGAAGGUCAUCUGAUAGGGAACAGACUAGUAGUGUCAGAAGGUCGUCUGAUAGGGAACAGACUAGUAGUGUCAGAAGGUCAUCUGAUAGGGAACAGACUAGUAGUGUCAGAAGGUCAUCUGAUAGGGAACAGACUAGUAGUGUCAGAAGGUCAUCUGAUAGGGAACAGACUAGUAGUGUCGGAAGGUCAUCUGAUAGGGAACAGACUAGUAGUGUCAGAAGGUCAUCUGAUAGGGAACAGACUAGUAGUGUCGGAAGGUCAUCUGAUAGGGAACAGACUAGUAGUGUCAGAAGGUCAUCUGAUAGGGAACAGACUAGUAGUGUCGGAAGGUCAUCUGAUAGGGAACAGACUAGUAGUGUCGGAAGGUCAUCUGAUAGGGAACAGACUAGUAAUGUCGGAAGGUCAUCUGAUAGGGAACAGACUAGUAGUGUCGGAAGGUCAUCUGAUAGGGAACAGACUAGUAGUGUCGGAAGGUCAUCUGAUAGGGAACAGACUAGUAGUGUCAUCUGAUAGGGAACAGACUAGUAGUGUCAUCUGA
Molecule: long non-coding RNA, 1884 nt
Organism: Oncorhynchus mykiss (rainbow trout)
Lineage: Eukaryota; Metazoa; Chordata; Actinopteri; Salmoniformes; Salmonidae
Source: Ensembl